UCAUGAAAGGUAAGGAGCAAAGAGAAUGCCCGGGCUGUCUUUCUGUGAGGCAAGGUCUCAUUGAGCAGUCCCGACUAUCCUGGAAUCCAGUGUCUCGCUCAGGCUGGCCUUGAACUCACAGUCCACCUGUUUAUCUGCCAGUGCUGGUAUUAAAGGCGUGUGCUCUCAACUAGAGAAAGGGCUUUCUUAAGUCAUAGCCUAAUAGAUUUUGACAGCCUGGGCUGCUGUCCUCUGCGUCUGGGCCUUUGCUUCCAGAGGUCACUGCAUUGGCCCACCCAUUUCUUACAGGAAACCCACGGGUUCAGGAUGGGAAUCCUGUCAUCCUCCUUUUUCGAACUCGAAACAGCCCCGUGUUUGAGCUGCUUCCCUGUGGUGUUAUUCAGGGGGAGCCGGGAGCCCAAGCCCAGCUCGUCAGCUUCCAUCCUGCUUUCAACAAAGGGGCCUUGCUCAGUGUGUGCUGGUCCACAGGCCGAAUCACCCACAUCCCUCUGUACUUUGUCAACGCCCAAUUUCCACGCUUUAGCCCAGUGCUUGGUCGGGCCCAGGAGCCCCCAGCUGGAGGUGGAGGCUCUGUUCAUGAAGUACCACUAUUUACUGAGACAUCACCAACCUCUGCCCCUUGGGACCCUCUUCCAGGACUACCAUCUGCUCAACCCCACUCCCCUCACUCCCACUUGUAAAUAAAGUUUUUCUUGUUUCCACUC
This 704-nucleotide long non-coding RNA is filed under the name Rattus norvegicus (Norway rat). Its description in RNAcentral is "long non-coding RNA NONRATT027359". The record is from RNAcentral. Lineage: Eukaryota; Metazoa; Chordata; Mammalia; Rodentia; Muridae.